AUCGAUGAAGAACGCAGCAAAAUGCGAUACCUGGUGUGAAUUGCAGAAUCCCGCGAACCAUCGAGUCUUUGAACGCAAGUUGCGCCCGAGGCCUUUCGGCUGAGGGCACGCCUGCCUGGGCGUCACGCAAAACACGCUU
Molecule: ribosomal RNA, 139 nt
Filed under: Anthoxanthum redolens
Lineage: Eukaryota; Viridiplantae; Streptophyta; Magnoliopsida; Poales; Poaceae
Description: 5.8S ribosomal RNA
Rfam family: 5.8S ribosomal RNA (bases 1-125)
About the family: 5.8S ribosomal RNA (5.8S rRNA) is a component of the large subunit of the eukaryotic ribosome.
Source: RNAcentral